UACGAAGGGGGCUAGCGUUGUUCGGAAUCACUGGGCGUAAAGGGCGCGUAGGCGGCCUGGCAAGUCGGGGGUGAAAGCCUGUGGCUCAACCACAGAAUGGCCUUCGAUACUGCUGGGCUUGAGACCGGAAGAGGUCAGUGGAACUGCGAGUGUAGAGGUGAAAUUCGUAGAUAUUCGCAAGAACACCAGUGGCGAAGGCGGCUGACUGGUCCGGUUCUGACGCUGAGGUGCGAAAGCGUGGGGAGCAAACAGG
This 253-nucleotide ribosomal RNA is filed under the name uncultured bacterium. Its description in RNAcentral is "partial 16S ribosomal RNA". It matches the Rfam family "Bacterial small subunit ribosomal RNA", at positions 524 to 776 of the family's 1533-position model. The record is from RNAcentral.